RNAcentral lists this ribosomal RNA (502 nucleotides) under uncultured bacterium. Its description in RNAcentral is "partial 16S ribosomal RNA". It matches the Rfam family "Bacterial small subunit ribosomal RNA", at positions 28 to 507 of the family's 1533-position model. The record is from RNAcentral.
GACGAACGCUGGCGGCGUGCCUAAUACAUGCAAGUCGAACGAACCGCGACUAAGUGCUUGCACUAAGUCAAGGUGAGUGGCGAACGGGUGAGUAACACGUGGGUAACCUACCUCAUAGUGGGGGAUAACAGUCGGAAACGACUGCUAAUACCGCAUAGGACAUAGGAUCACAUGAUCCAGUGAGGAAAGGUGGCGCAAGCUAUCGCUAAGAGAUGGACCCGCGGUGCAUUAGCUAGUUGGUAGGGUAGAGGCCUACCAAGGCGAUGAUGCAUAGCCGACCUGAGAGGGUGAUCGGCCACAUUGGGACUGAGACACGGCCCAAACUCCUACGGGAGGCAGCAGUAGGGAAUCUUCCGCAAUGGACGCAAGUCUGACGGAGCAACGCCGCGUGAGUGAAGAAGGUCUUCGGAUCGUAAAGCUCUGUUGUUAGAGAAGAACAGCGCAUAGAGUAACUGCUAUGCGUGUGACGGUAUCUAACCAGAAAGCCACGGCUAACUACGUG